This 899-nucleotide ribosomal RNA is filed under the name uncultured Halobacteriales archaeon. RNAcentral describes it as "bacterial SSU rRNA". It matches the Rfam family "Archaeal small subunit ribosomal RNA", at positions 16 to 922 of the family's 1478-position model. The record is from RNAcentral. Lineage: Archaea; Methanobacteriati; Methanobacteriota; Halobacteria; Halobacteriales.
GCCGGAGGCCAUUGCUAUCGGUGUCCGAUUUAGCCAUGCGAGUCGCACGUGUAACGUGGCAAACGGCUCAGUAACACGUGGCCAAACUACCCUACAGACCGUGAUAACCUCGGGAAACUGAGGCUAAUAACGGAUAGCGCUCCCGAGCUGGAAUGCUGGGAGCGCGAAAGCUCCGGCGCUGUAGGAUGUGGCUGCGGCCGAUUAGGUAGACGGUGGGGUAACGGCCCACCGUGCCGAUAAUCGGUACGGGUUGUGAGAGCAAGAGCCCGGAGACGGACUCUGAGACAAGAGUCCGGGCCCUACGGGGCGCAGCAGGCGCGAAACCUUUACACUGUACGCAAGUACGAUAGGGGGACACCGAGUGCGAGGGCAUAGAGCCCUCGCUUUUGUACACCGUAAGGUGGUGCACGAAUAAGGGCUGGGCAAGACCGGUGCCAGCCGCCGCGGUAACACCGGCAGCCCAAGUGAUGGCCGCUAUUAUUGGGCCUAAAGCGUCCGUAGCUGGCCGUUCAGGUCCGUCGGGAAAUCCACUGGCUUAACCAGUGGGCGUCCGGCGGAAACCGUUCGGCUUGGAACAGGGAGACCAGAGGGGUACGUCCGGGGUAGGAGUGAAAUCCCGUAAUCCUGGACGGACCAUCGGUGGCGAAAGCGCCUCUGGAGAACUGAUUCGACAGUGAGGGACGAAAGCUGGGGUCUCGAACCGGAUUAGAUACCCGGGUAGUCCCAGCCGUAAACGAUGCUCGCUAGGUGUGUCGCAGGCUACGAGCCUGCGAUGUGCCGUAGGGAAGCCGAGAAGCGAGCCGCCUGGGAAGUACGUCCGCAAGGAUGAAACUUAAAGGAAUUGGCGGGGGAGCACUACAACCGGAGGAGCCUGCGGUUUAAUUGGAUUCAACGCCGGG